Molecule: long non-coding RNA, 795 nt
Filed under: Nicotiana benthamiana
Lineage: Eukaryota; Viridiplantae; Streptophyta; Magnoliopsida; Solanales; Solanaceae
Description: long non-coding RNA (NBEN_LNC041692)
Source: RNAcentral
UUAAAUUUAAUAGCACGGAUCCACUUUCUGGUGAUGAAGUGGACGACAGUGCACAGUUCAUCUCAUCCGUGUGUUGGCGUGGUCAGUCCUCUACCUUAGUUGCUGCAGAUCCGCUUUCUGGUGAUGAAGUGGACGACAGUGCCCAGUUCAUCUCAUCGGUGUGUUGGCGUGGUCAGUCGUCUACCUUAGUUGCUGCAAAUUCUAUGGGAAAUAUCAAGCUCUUGGAGAUGGUCUAAUGUGGUUCAAGUCCCUAAAGUCUUAGCUGUUACUUUAAGAAGAGGAAAUAUGUGAAGGAGAAGAGUGUGGCACAGGUAAAUGAGGGGAUUACACCAAGAAAUUGUUGUAGCUGAUAUAAACUAGAUGCAAUACUACGGUAACAAGGAAGUUGCCAUCAAGAAACGAAUAUUUUUGCAGUUAGUUCAUAGCGGAAGCAACUCUCUGGAAGUAUGAGAUUAUAUCUCAUAGCGGAAAGUGUUGUAAAUAAAUAUUGGUUUUGGAGAGUGAAGAGUUGCAUUGUUAGUUCUGUUUGUAUAUUCUAUAAUUUUGAAGUUCUUAAGAAAUUCUCCGGAAUGUUAGAUCUUGGCGUGAUCACGUCUUAGCACAUUCAUUUUCCAGCAUAUUCUGUUUAAGAUGUUUAUGCUGUUCAAGUGUUCAUGACCAGCCAAUUGGUUUGACAUAAAGCAUGCACAAAUUAUAACUACUAAGUUAUGGAGCACAUCUUUCCAAUGGGACAUUGUUGGCUGGUGAGAUUUGAUAAUUCUCCUCCAUUUCAUGUCAUUUCUGAAACUGUUUUGG